Molecule: ribosomal RNA, 498 nt
Filed under: uncultured Glomeromycotina
Lineage: Eukaryota; Fungi; Glomeromycota
Description: partial small subunit ribosomal RNA
Rfam family: Eukaryotic small subunit ribosomal RNA
Source: RNAcentral
CCAAUAGCGUAUAUUAAAGUUGCUGCAGUUAAAAAGCUCGUAGUUGAAUUUCGGGACUAAUAUGUCGGUCGUGCCUCGGUACGUACUGGCUUAUUGGUUUCUCCUUUCUGAAGAACCAUGAUGUCAUUUAUUUGGUGUCGUGGGGAAUCAGGACUGUUACUUUGAAAAAAUUAGAGUGUUUAAAGCAGGCUCACGCUUGAAUACAUUAGCAUGGAAUAAUGAAAUAGGACGUUUGAUUCUAUUUUGUUGGUUUCUAGGAUCGACGUAAUGAUUAAUAGGGAUAGUUGGGGGCAUUAGUAUUCAAUUGUCAGAGGUGAAAUUCUUGGAUUUAUUGAAGACUAACUACUGCGAAAGCAUUUGCCAAGGAUGUUUUCAUUAAUCAAGAACGAACGUUAGGGGAUCGAAGACGAUCAGAUACCGUCGUAGUCUUAACCAUAAACUAUGCCGACUAGGGAUCGGAUGAUGUUAAUUUUUUAAUGACUCAUUCGGCGCCUUACG